AGUGAACGCUGGCGGUAGGCCUAACACAUGCAAGUCGAACGGCAGCACAGUAAGAGCUUGCUCUUACGGGUGGCGAGUGGCGGACGGGUGAGGAAUACAUCGGAAUCUACUUUUUCGUGGGGGAUAACGUAGGGAAACUUACGCUAAUACCGCAUACGACCUACGGGUGAAAGCAGGGGAUCUUCGGACCUUGCGCGAUUGAAUGAGCCGAUGUCGGAUUAGCUAGUUGGCGGGGUAAAGGCCCACCAAGGCGACGAUCCGUAGCUGGUCUGAGAGGAUGAUCAGCCACACUGGAACUGAGACACGGUCCAGACUCCUACGGGAGGCAGCAGUGGGGAAUAUUGGACAAUGGGCGCAAGCCUGAUCCAGCCAUACCGCGUGGGUGAAGAAGGCCUUCGGGUUGUAAAGCCCUUUUGUUAGGAAAGAAAAGCAGCAGGUUAAUACCCCGCUGUUCUGACGGUACCCAAAGAAUAAGCACCGGCUAACCUCGUG
Molecule: ribosomal RNA, 492 nt
Filed under: uncultured bacterium
Lineage: Bacteria
Description: partial 16S ribosomal RNA
Rfam family: Bacterial small subunit ribosomal RNA
Source: RNAcentral